CCUCAAGCACCAGAAUGUGUCCAGCCCUGCCUCUGCGCAUCCAGCGAUGCCCUGGCUGUGUCGGAAGCGCAAGACGCACACUUAGGAUUUUCAGCUUGGCUGUGGGUUUAUUGGGCCGUAACCCCAACGUAGGCAGGUAGCCAACUGGAGGAGACUGUUUUCUAGACCCUUAGGUGGCCUCUGACCCCAGAAGUCAUCAGCGGAAGAUUUGGGCUGGGGAGUGAGCAGCUAACCAGAGGCGGUACCCCUGCCCGGAAGUGUGUCCUGGACCUUGGUUUGGUUGGGUCCCUCAGGUGUUGCCCACACAGACCGUAACUACCUGGCAAUCGAGAAGGGUGCCAGAUGGACACUGGGGGUGAAAACACAGCCACGCCUGGUGGGGAAGCGGGUGGAGGUGCUCAGGAGGCAACCAGGAGAGUGCAGUGCAGCACUGCCCGCACCAAGCCUGGGCUGGGGCUCAACAGGAAGCGUGGAGAUGGCGCAAAUGCACCGCAGGGACUCAGAGGGAUCACGCUGGGCUUAAAAGGCCCAGAGCAAACAGACUCAACCGUUAGGAAGCAGGGGAAGUGGCCCGAUCUUAACGGAAAUUUCCCAGCAAGAGGACAGGCUUCCUUGUCCGGGGCCAUCCAGGCUCACACCUGACUGAGUCCCGCAGACUUGGCUGUGCCCACAGCGCCUGUCUCACUCAGUGUAAACCGAGAUGAGUUGCAUCCAUCGGCUCCCGAUUACCAAGAAUCAAGAGGCGAUGGAUGGAAACCUUGGGGGAAGCAGGGCCUGGAGGGCCAGUGUCCCCUGAGUCUGUGAGACACUCCAGGAAGGAGGGGGGCGGGCCUGGGCUGCAACCUGUCCCUCCGAAGGCCACCUGCAAGACAGGGCUGAAACUGGCUGCUGGCAGAGACCCCCCAACCCACAGAACACUGGCUCCCUGCUGAAGGAAGAACUGCUCCAAAGCAGAAAGAGCAGGGCCCAGCGGGUAAGGAGCAGGAACUGAAGAGCUUUACAAAGAACAAAAAAGGCUGGGCAGGGCAGCUCUCACCUGUAAUCCCAGCACUUUGGGAGGCCAAGGUAGGAGGAUCUCUUGAGGCCAGGCGUUUCAGACCAGCCUGCGCAACACAGUGAGACCACAUCUCUAAAAAAAAUCAAAAGAUUAGCCAGGCAUGAUGGCACGUGCCUAUAGUCCCAGCUACCUGGGAGGAUGAGGUAGGACGAUUGCUUGUGCACAGGAGGCUGAGGCUGCAGUGAGCCUUGAUCAGGCCACUGCACUCCAGCUCGGGUGACAGAGUGAGAUCGUGUCUAUAUUAAAAAAUAAAAAUAGGCCAGGUGUGGUGGCUCACACCUGUAAUCCCAGCACUUUGGGAGGCCGAGGUGGGUGAUCACCUGGGGUUAGGAAUUCGAGACCAUCCUGGCCAACGUGGUGAAACGCUGCCUCUACUAAAAAUACAAAAAUUAGCUGGGUGUUGUGGCGGGCGCCUGUAAUCCCAGCUACUAGGGAGGCUAAGGCAGGAGAAUCGCUUGAACCUGGGAGGUGGAGGUUGCAGUGAGCCAAGAUCGUGCCAUUGCACUCCAGCCUGGGUGACAAGAGCAAAACUCACUCAAAAAAAAUUAAAAUUAAAAAAGAUAAAAAUAAGGUUCAAGACCAGCCUGGCCAACAGGGUGAAACCCUAUCUCUACUAAUAAAAAUACAAAAUUAGCUGGGCGUGGUGGUGCAUGCCUGUAAUUCCAGCUUCUUGGGAAGGUGAGGCAGGACAAUUGCUUGAACCCGGCAGGUGGAGGCUGCAGUGAGCCAAGACUGCACCACCAGCCCAGGUGACAAACUGACACCGUUUCAUAAAAAUAAAUACAUAAAUAAGUAAAUAAAACAUUAAAAAAAAUAGAACAAAAGUGCAAGGAGCUGUAGGGGACUGAAGUUUGUGAACUCCGUGAGCUAGAGAUGCUGGGAGAGCAGUCAGAAGGCGAGGAAUCCUGAAAACAGGAAAUGCAUCCAGGGCCAGAGGCUUUUUCAAAUGAUGAAUCUAGAACUGCAGGUCGGGGACUCACAAGGAUCCCUGAUGGAUUCUCAAACGGAUCAUAAGUUAUGUCGGUAGGCCCAAGGGGGUGGUUGGGGCAGACUGAGCAAGCUCACGGGACAGGGCUCCCCGUCCAGCCUCCGACUGCGGCCUGGCAUCCACCGCAGUGUCCUGCUGCUUGGCAUCCACAGGUUAUUUUGGGGGUCCCCCGGCAGGGAGGAAAGGGCCUCUCGGUGGCUCCUGCGAGUGGCCUGGCAGACGCCUGAGCCAGGGUAGACAGCGAGGAGUCGCGGGCAGAGAUUUUGCUGGUCUAUCUGGCCUGGGUGCAGCCUGGAUGAAGACAGCAUGUCUGUCUGACCUCAAGCAGGGCUCGUCCCUGAGCUCAGAUGUUCGCUGCCUUCCAGAGGGGAAAGGCAGUUGGGGUCAGCAGGGCACCAGGCAGAAUGCACCCAGCUCCAGAUGGCAGGUGCAUCCCACACCCCUCCCCAAUCCCCCUGCGCAGCCCCGUGGCCGGGUUUAGGUUCAGGGGUACUUGCAGCCUAAGCUAGGGGUGGCAUCGCCGGCUCCAAGGCUGCCUCGGUUUCUCAGGCGAGUGCUGAACUUCCUGUUGCCUUAAAGAGGGCCAACACUGAAAACAGGGAGGGUUCCCGCUGCCCAGGUCCUCCACACCACUGCCGUCCACCAGGCCCACUGUGGGGUCUCAGGACAGGGCCCUGCACACCGGGGACCUGAUGAAUGUCUGUAGACUCUCAGAUGUCUGCUGAGGAGGCAGGGAACAAGCCUCCCAUCCCGUACCAGCCUCGAUCCCCGCACUGGCCCCGCAGCUCGGCCUGAGCACCGCACUCCACACGCUGCCCGGAUCCCCGCACUGGCCCGGCAGCCCGGCCUGAGCACGGCACUCCACACACUGAGCUGCACAGUGUAUUUUUCUCAGCAGCCACCAGAGGCACAUUCACCGGUGGCGCGUCCUGGUGGGCCUCCGGGUGCCGUCACCAGGCAAUUCUCCCAAACGGCUCCACUGGGCGCCUGG
This 3036-nucleotide long non-coding RNA is filed under the name Homo sapiens (human). RNAcentral describes it as "HSALNT0246263". The record is from RNAcentral. Lineage: Eukaryota; Metazoa; Chordata; Mammalia; Primates; Hominidae.